Dioscorea cayenensis subsp. rotundata (Guinea yam) is the source of this 107-nucleotide small nucleolar RNA. The record is from RefSeq and is a predicted model, not a curated record. NCBI's taxonomy places the organism in Eukaryota, Viridiplantae, Streptophyta, Magnoliopsida, Dioscoreales, Dioscoreaceae.
AGGUUAUGAUGCGGACAUUUUCUCAACAAAUCUUUAAAUCUCUCCCAUGCCUCAAAUAAUGAUUUAUUGUCCAACUGUGCAUAAGCUAUAAUAUCUUGACGCAACUU